AUUAGCUAAUGUCUCCAUCCUCUGAUCUUCAGAUAGGCUUCAUUUCUACAAGCAAGAUAUCACCACAAAAGGCCACAAUCUUACUGGAACCCACAAUAUUGCUUUCUGGUGUGCAUGGAGAUCAUUGAUGGUCAUUACGAAGGAGGACCUUCUCUGAUGACUGACGGCUGAGCAAGACACAGAUCUGGACAUCUAAGUUGUUUCAAGUUUCUGGUUAUUAAGAAUUGUUGCGACCACCUUGACCAGCAAAGAAGAUGCGACUCGGGAACUCUUCUCCAAGCGGCUUAUUCAGGAACCUUGAAACAGUCUUCUUCUCCCUUGGGGUAAGCCAGCCCACAGCUUAUAUGGCCUAGGCAUAGGCAACCCUAGCACGCCACUUGGCGAUAGCAGAUAGGUACACACACACACACACACACACACACACACACACACACACACACACACACACACACACGGAAGCA
Long non-coding RNA from Mesocricetus auratus (golden hamster), 461 nucleotides. RefSeq lists it as uncharacterized. The transcript has 3 exons. Lineage: Eukaryota; Metazoa; Chordata; Mammalia; Rodentia; Cricetidae. The record is from RefSeq and is a predicted model, not a curated record.